Zootermopsis nevadensis is the source of this 4602-nucleotide long non-coding RNA. RefSeq lists it as uncharacterized. NCBI's taxonomy places the organism in Eukaryota, Metazoa, Arthropoda, Insecta, Blattodea, Termopsidae. The record is from RefSeq and is a predicted model, not a curated record.
AACAAAUUACACAGCUGCUCGUGCAAAUCUGAAACUUAACUCAGCUACCAAAGUUAUAUGUUAUUGAUUUCACAGGUAAACAAGUAACUUUUCAUAGUAAGCAAGCUAUUGAAUAUGGAACAGAAGUUGUCAGAGGUGUGUCACUAGGUAAAGGUGGAGAAACUCAACUUAAUUUGCCAGUAUUUAAUACAGUGAAAGAGGUUAUUUAACGGCAUCUUUUUAUCUGCAUGGGUCAUGUAGCGUCAAAUUAUUGCAUCGUUAUGGAUGAUAACUGGAAAGGAGGUGGAACAAUUGGAUAAUGGCUUCAUAUUCUGUCCCAGAAAUGUCCCUGAGGGACUAGCAGCUGCACUCGCACGAUAUUUUCAGUUACCAUCGACGUUCCAACGGAAGGUGAAAAUCCCCCCAAAGUAGGGAAAUUGAACCUUGUUGAUGUGGCCCGUAGUGAGAAUAUUGAAUGGCAAGCUGCCGUUGGUGGUGGAUUAGGAAAUAUUGAUCAGUCAUUCCUGACACUAGGACGUGUCAUUACGUUUUUUGUGGACAGAGCCGCGCAUGUACCUUUCAGAUAGAAGAGGAAAGAAAAAUUCUUUCAGGAGUAACUUGAUGCUGAAGCAACCAUUUUUAUGCAUUAUUAUAGAAGAGAACAUCUAAGAAGCAGAGUAACAGAUGACAAGUAUUAGACUUUGUUUGAAUGAAGGAACAGUGAUCUCUUUGUACGCAAGAAACUGAAAGGGAAAGAACAUCUGAUAUGCGAGGUGAAUUUAUUGUGCCUUUCAGUUUACACAAAAAUCCCAGAAUGACUUCUUUUCAAACACCAUCUUCCUCUUAUGCCGGCUCACAGGAAAAUGAAAAAGACAUAAUAGUAGCUGAAAUAAAAAAUCAGAACUUAUCUGUUGAUGGAAUACAAAGAGGAAACAUAUCAGUGUUUCAGGAUGGAGAAUCAACUGUGGAUAAUACCGUAAAGGUUAUUAGUCAAAUAAGCACAUCUCCUAGAAUAUCACUAAGUGAUGCACAAAGGAUAAAAAAUGAAGCUAGAAUGUGACAAGAAGUGUUGUGCAAAAUUUAAUGAAUAUUCAUGCACAAGGGAUAAAGUUAAGCAUUCUGUUACCAGAGUGCCCAAUCUAUCAGCUUACACUGACACAACAGGAAAAGGAGUCGAAUGCCUGGCAAUCAAAAGCAAGAGCUUGCAUAGCCAUAUUAGUACUGACUUAUCUUAUGUUGAUCAGAGUGCAGUGGUGUCAAAUAGUGCAACAAAAUUUUCUUCAAAGGGUAGAAACAUUGUCAUUGCAAGUGAUGUUUCAGAAUUAGAAAACAGACCAAAGGUUUCUUUAAAUACAGUAAAAGCAGUUGCUAACAGAGAAUUAAUAUUAGAAGACACAAGCAUUUCACUGAAGAACAUAACCCAAGAUAGUCUGCAAAUCUCGGAAAAUAACACUGGAAAUUCUACCAUUAUAUUGCAAAAAUAAAAUGUUUCCUGGAAGAGCUUCAUACACGAGAACUUAUUCUACAUUACCUUUAGAAGAUUGUGAAGUUUUAGAAUACAAAAUAAUGAACCCAAAAAAUAACACUGAUACUUGUACUGCUACAUUAAAAAAUGUAAUGCCCGUAACAACUACUUGAGGCAUGGUGUCUGGAUUAUCCACUGGAUCCCCAAAAGUUCCAGUAGAGAGGGAAUCAAUUAAAAGUGUUCCAUUAUCAAGGAAGCAGUCAAAUGUGGGAGAUCAACCUGCAUUGUCUUCAGAUCUUAAAAUUGUAUUGCCCAGAUCAAAGACCUCACAAAAUAAAAUUCCAAAUAAAGCUAAAAUGCCUCUAAGAAUAGAUUCAAACGUAAUAAGGCAGUGUGGAUUUCCCUUGGAACACACUCUAGUUUCACCAUCUAAAAUGAGUAUAGGAAAGACAGAUGUGAGGAAGGACAAUGAAUUAAAUAAAGCUUCAGAGAAUAAUGGUUCACAUCUGAAGAAGGGGAAUGAUAUCCUGUCAGUAGAGGAAGAAAACAGUUCCAAACAGUCAUGUUUAUCUGACCAUGAACAUUCUACAGUCUUACAGAGUAAAUCAUCAUUAGAGGAGUUAACAAGCAUGUAAAAAAGUAGUAAUUCGUCUACAGACUCUGUUGUACUGGAACGGAGGCCCGCAGAAAGAAGAGCAGUAGUGCAACAUAUGUUUCAAAUGUUACAGAUAUGAAAUGUCGUAUCUCAAAUGUGAAAAAACCUCCACCCUUAAUAGUAAUCACGGAAGAGGAAUCUGAUUCGUUAAUGUCACCUGUCUGUAACACUGUGCCAUCACAUAAGGAAGCUAAAAUUGUGAAAGGAUCAAGUGUAGACUGGGAACUGUUUAACAGCAAGAGUUCAUUACAUCUGAGAGAAAAGUCUGUAGAAUGUUAUUUUUCAAAAAGUAGUGGAGUUUCCUUGACUUCAGUAUCAGACAAACAAGUUUCAGUCCUGUCUGAGAAUAUGCAUAGUUCUUUAGACGGAGGAAAGGCAACAGACCAUAAAGCAUCACCACCAUCAGGUACAAAGUUGGAAUUAGAUGUGAAUAAACUACAUUAUAAUAUUUCAUUACUGUUCUCUGAUACUGAGAGAAAACAAAAUGAUGCUUGCAGUCUGUCAUCGGACAAAGGAAAGAAAACAAAAUUGGUUUCCAAAAAUAAGAAUAUGUUAGUACAUAAUCCAGAUGUAGUGUCUGAAAUUAGGCAAAGCUCAUCUGCUGGUAACUCUGUUGCUUGUAAAGAAAGCACUUGCGCAUGAACAAGAACAGAGCGUACACAUAUCAGUAUGUUUACGUGUUAAGAGAAAAGGUAAAGAAGCAUGUGGAUCACCAGAUUUCAAGGAAAAGGAAACAUCAGAUCACACUUCCAGAAGCAAUAAUGUAUCUGUUGUCCAUAAAUUUACAGUAUCUGGAUCUCUGUCUGGUAGUUCAGUUACUUCUUCAGGGUGUACAGCUGCUGUACAUUCACAGAGCCUUACAUUUCUGUGUAAUACUUUAGGAAACAAAUGUAUGCAACCUGCUAAAACCAUCGGUGAGCUACAGAUAACUCAUCCUCAGUCACAAAGUGUUAAAUUAUCACAUGAACUCUCUCAGCAUCCCAGUAAAUUCUGUGUGGUGAAGCGUAACAGUUUUGAGAUACUGAUGAGUGGGCAGAAAUCUCUACCUGAGGUACAGAACUGUAUGUCAAAACAAAGCUAAGGCAUGUAAACACUGAAAUUUGACAACUGCAGUACUGAGACACAGUCAAGAUGUGUUGCAUCAACAGAUCCAGAAAAUCAGAGCUCAGUAUCUGAAUUCUACCCACAUGAAUACAUUGGCUAUUUUGAGACUAUAGUAGCUGAAGCUUUGAAGGACAAAGACUUGUUAUCACUUCUUAGUGAGGUGGAAGUUAUGACUGUAACCAGCUUUCAGAAAUUAGAGUACCAAGUGAAGGCUCUUUAUGUGAGAAUGCUGAGCAGAAAAUAUACCUGGCACCGUGUGUCUGAUAUAAAAUAUGAUCAUAUUAAUGUGCCUGCAGCUUUCAUUGAACUUGAAGUAUCUGGCUUUGUAACAUCAGUUCUGAAAAAUUAGAAGUUCUUCUGAAUUUGCUGAAAGUUCCAGAACUAAGAUCGUUAUGCCUGACUUUCCGAAUUUCAUCAGCUACACGACCGAAGCCAGAACUGAUACAAGCUGCGUUACAAUAUGGGAGAAAUCAACAAACCAUAAGUGGAAAUCAAGCGAGUGACUCAGCAUCUCCUAUUAAAAGCAGGUAUAGAGUUGUGUACCCAACUGCUAAGCAUCAAUUGAAAACAUAAAUUACAAAAUCAGUGAAGCAAAAUUGUGUGUACCAAGUCUUUAAUAAUUCUUAUGGUUUUUUGUAACACCAAUUAUCAUUCUAUACUUUUUCUAGAAUAAUACCUGAAAUUAGACUUAUGGUAUAUAAUGUUUCUUUCUCUGGAUUUACCGUUUAUGAUAUGUGUCACCUGUCUCCUCAGUAUUUGUUAACAUUUCUUUGUUUAUGUUCAUCCCAGUAGUAAACAUCACCACCAAUUGUAGCUUCCUCUUUUCUCUCCUUCCCCCAACCAUUUCAUUGCUUUUCAUUGUCUGUAACUUCCCUGUAGCAGAACUCGCAUGUUCAACACAGACAACACCAAAACUUGCCACUGGCCAUGAUCCUGAUACAACUCCAUCCAUUUGCCAUCCUCAGAGCCCACCUCCCUAAGAUCCAUCUUGAUAUUAUCCUCCUAUCUCUUUCUUGGUCUACCCAGUGGUUGUUUUCCCGAUGGAUUCCCCACCAUAAUUCUGUAUGCACCCCUUGCCACCCCCAUGCAUGAUACACGUCCAGCCCAAGGGAGCCUCCUAGAUUUCACUAUCCUCACUAUGCUAGGUGAUCCGUGCAAUUCAUGCAGCUCCUCUUUAUGUAAUAUUCUAAAUUCCCCACUUAUUUUAUCCCUCCUAGGUUCAUAUAGCUUGUUUUCAAUCACUUGUAAUCUACUUUCUUCCUUCAAGGUAAGAGACCAUGUUUCACAACCAUACUAGACAACAGGCAAAAUUAUUGUUUUAUAUAUCCUGAUCUUCAGUGUUUUGGAUAGUGAAUUGAAUAAAAGCAAGCAUUCCAUGAAUGUAUUUUGCUCUUAAUUU